RNAcentral lists this long non-coding RNA (1972 nucleotides) under Piliocolobus tephrosceles (Ugandan red Colobus). Its description in RNAcentral is "lncRNA (ENSPTEG00000000026.1)". The record is from RNAcentral. Lineage: Eukaryota; Metazoa; Chordata; Mammalia; Primates; Cercopithecidae.
AUGUUUCUACGGAAAAUAAGCUUCAUCUCAGUCAAUCUGUUCGUCCCAACUUUGGGCAGCAGGUGUGGGGGCGGGACCAAGGUCUGCGCCGUAAUCCAAACAGGCAGUCCCACCCAGGGCCACCCCAAGGCUAGAUGCUCCGACGCGACUCGAGCAGGCCACACUGUCUUUCGGACAAAGCGACGCGGUCCUCACAGGCGGGAAGGAGAGUGCGUCCCGGUCGGGAAGGACGCCGCCAGUGAGCUGCCUGCCCACGUGACGCCCGCGGCGACCUUGGGGGUCACCCUUGCGGACGCACCGCCCUCUCCCUCACAUCCGCCGCCGCGCCCGCCCCUCACUCUACGACCGCCAAUGGCGCGUCGCUCCGCGCCCCGCGCGACCUCGGAGCGCGCUCGUACCCGCCAAUCUCCGCCCGCCGGGCGGGCCCCACGGCGCCAUUGGCUACCACGGCCAUCUAUCAGGUCCCGUCCCUCCUACCACCCUCCGUCAGCCCCACUCCAUCCAGCUCCACUCCCCUGUCACCGCGGCACCCGCAGCACCAAGGGCGCGGCGGCCUCGCCCUUUCCCGCUAUCUCCAACCCCGGGCCGCCAAGCGCCGCGCUACCCGGCACUGGGACGGGCGCAGCGACAGCGCAAGGUUACCUGUCUCCGGCUCAGCUCCACCCGAAUGAGGCGCCGACACCCCACUCCGGGGCUCUAAACUCUCGGCCCCGCCCUGGCGUAUGGCGUCAACACGUAGCCCUCCCCUGGAGAAGAAGGCCCUCCCCUCUUACAGUGAACCGAUUCGUGACGUCACAGAGGCGCGCCGGACGUCACCGCGCCGACUACGCAGUUGCGGGAGCUUGGGCCGGCGGGAGCCCAGCUGUUUGCUCCGCCAGAGCGAUGAGUUUGAGUCUAUGGACUUCCAGCGGCUUCUACGAUCAUAAGAGUUUAUCUGGACUGUCUUGGAGGUGGAGAGGACUCUGCACCUAGAGAAGGUAUUGGGUCUCUUGUUAGCAAAGUGUGGCUCAUGCUCUAAUGGCAGGACUAGUGGGGCAGAAGGAACUUGAGGGUGAAGUGGUGGAAUUGAUCGCUGACUGAUGGCACUUUCUGAUGCAGUCUCCUUCAUCUUCCUCAUCUGAAUGGAAUGCACCCGGUACUCUGUCACCAGGUGGUGGUGUCCACCAGGUCAGGACCCAUGUUCCCAGUGCAGGUUUUGGAUGCCACUUGGAGGAUAGUGCAGCCAGAUGCCCAAACUCUUCACCUGAAGAGGGAGGGUUCUCCAUCACCUACCCACUGGAGACAGUUUCCACUAAGACUUCUUCAGCUAAGAUACAGAGUGCCAGAGGCUCAAAGAUUCGCAUGGGGUAGAGGGUUGGUGUGCAGCUUUUGGGGGUGGUCAGGCAACACCCCACCACCUUGUGUUCUUGACAUGUGCCCCAGGCCUUCCUGGCUUCUCUUAGUGCUAGCCACCACUCACAAAAGGUUGAAAGUUUUUAAUUUUUUUUUUUUUUUUUUUGAGACAGAGUCUGGCUCUGUUGCCCAGGCUGGAGUGCAGUGGCACGAUCUAGGCUCACUGCAAGCUCCGCCUCCUGGGUUCACACCAUUCUCCUGCCUCAGCCUUCCGAGUAGCUGGGACUACAGGCGCCUGCCACCACGCCCGGCUAAUUUUUUGUAUUUUUAGUAGAGACCGGGUUUCACCGUGUUGGCCAGAAUGGUCUCGAUCUCCUUUUUUGUAUUUUUAGUAGAGACCGGGUUUCACCGUGUUGGCCAGAAUGGUCUCGAUCUCCUGACCUCAUGAUCCGCCCGCCUCGGCCUUUCAGAGUGCUGGGAUUAUAGGCGUGAGCCACCACGCCUGGCCGAAAGUUUUUAAUUUUGAUGUUGCUUAUGUCAUAUCUAAGAAUCCAUUGCCAAAUCUAAGGUUGUGAAGAUUUACCCUUAUGUUUCUUCUAUGAGGUUAUGGUUUUAGCUCAUAUUUAGAUUGUCUACCUAU